UCCGUAGGUGGAUAAUUAAGUCAGAGGUGAAAGUUUGCAACUCAACUGUAAAAUUGCCUUUGAUACUGGUUAUCUUGAAUUAUUGUGAAGUGGUUAGAAUAUGUAGUGUAGCGGUGAAAUGCAUAGAUAUUACAUAGAAUACCAAUUGCGAAGGCAGAUCACUAACAAUAUAUUGACACUGAUAGACGAAAGCGUGGGGAGCGAACAGGAUUAGAUACCCUGGUAGUCC
Molecule: ribosomal RNA, 229 nt
Filed under: uncultured bacterium
Lineage: Bacteria
Description: partial 16S ribosomal RNA
Rfam family: Bacterial small subunit ribosomal RNA
Source: RNAcentral